GAUGAACGCUGGCGGCGUGCCUAAUACAUGCAAGUCGAGCGAACAGACGAGGAGCUUGCUCCUCUGACGUUAGCGGCGGACGGGUGAGUAACACGUGGAUAACCUACCUAUAAGACUGGGAUAACUUCGGGAAACCGGAGCUAAUACCGGAUAAUAUACUGAACCGCAUGGUUCAAUAGUGAAAGACGGUUUUGCUGUCACUUAUAGAUGGAUCCGCGCCGCUUUAGCUAGUUGGUAAGGUAACGGCUUACCAAGGCAACCAUGCGUAACCGACCUGAGGGGGUGAUCGGCCACACUGGAACUGAGACACGGUCCAGACUCCUACGGGAGGCAGCAGUAGGGAAUCUUCCGCAAUGGGCGAAAGCCUGACGGAGCAACGCCGCGUGAGUGAUGAAGGUCUUCGGAUCGUAAAACUCUGUUAUUAGUGAAGAACAAAUGUGUAAGUAACUAUGCACGUCUUGACGGUACCUAAUCAGAAAGCCACGGCUAACUACGUG
Molecule: ribosomal RNA, 497 nt
Filed under: uncultured bacterium
Lineage: Bacteria
Description: partial 16S ribosomal RNA
Rfam family: Bacterial small subunit ribosomal RNA
Source: RNAcentral